This 279-nucleotide ribosomal RNA is filed under the name uncultured bacterium. RNAcentral's name for it is "partial 16S ribosomal RNA". It matches the Rfam family "Bacterial small subunit ribosomal RNA", at positions 506 to 784 of the family's 1533-position model. The record is from RNAcentral.
UGCCAGCCGCCGCGGUAAUACGGAGGGUGCGAGCGUUAAUCGGAAUCACUGGGCGUAAAGCGUACGUAGGCGGCAAAGUCAGUCAGGCGUGAAAGCCCUCGGCUCAACCUGGGAGUGGCAUUCGAUACUGCAGAGCUAGAGUAUGGUAGAGGGAAGUGGAAUUUCCGGUGUAGCGGUGAAAUGCGUAGAUAUCGGAAGGAACACCGGUGGCGAAGGCGACUUCCUGGGCCAAUACUGACGCUGAGGCGCGAAAGCGUGGGUAGCAAACAGGAUUAGAUA